UACAGCGGUCCCGAGCGUUGUUCGGAUUCACUGGGCGUAAAGGGUGCGUAGGUGGUUGGGUAAGUUUGAUGUGAAAGCUCAGGGCUUAACCCUGAAAUGGCAUUGAAUACUACUUAACUGGAGGUUUGGAGGGGGGACUGGAAUUCUUGGUGUAGCAGUGAAAUGCGUAGAUAUCAAGAGGAACACCAGUGGCGAAGGCGAGUCCCUGGACAACACCUGACACUGAGGCACGAAAGCUAGGGGAGCAAACAGG
This 253-nucleotide ribosomal RNA is filed under the name uncultured bacterium. RNAcentral describes it as "partial 16S ribosomal RNA". It matches the Rfam family "Bacterial small subunit ribosomal RNA", at positions 524 to 776 of the family's 1533-position model. The record is from RNAcentral.